UACGGAGGAUGCGAGCGUUAUCCGGAUUUAUUGGGUUUAAAGGGUGCGUAGGUGGAUUGUUAAGUCAGUUGUGGAAGUUUGCGGCUCAACCGUAAAAUUGCAGUUGAAACUGGCAGUCUUGAGUACAGUAGAGGUGGGCGGAAUUCGUGGUGUAGCGGUGAAAUGCUUAGAUAUCACGAAGAACCCCGAUUGCGAAGGCAGCCUGCCGGCCCCACACUGACGCUGAGGCACGAAAGCGUGGGUAUCGAACAGG
Molecule: ribosomal RNA, 253 nt
Filed under: uncultured Bacteroides sp.
Lineage: Bacteria; Pseudomonadati; Bacteroidota; Bacteroidia; Bacteroidales; Bacteroidaceae
Description: partial 16S ribosomal RNA
Rfam family: Bacterial small subunit ribosomal RNA
Source: RNAcentral